GAUGAACGCUGGCGGCGUGCCUAAUACAUGCAAGUCGAGCGAACAGACGAGGAGCUUGCUCCUCUGACGUUAGCGGCGGACGGGUGAGUAACACGUGGAUAACCUACCUAUAAGACUGGGAUAACUUCGGGAAACCGGAGCUAAUACCGGAUAAUAUAUUGAACCGCAUGGUUCAAUAGUGAAAGACGGUUUUGCUGUCACUUAUAGAUGGAUCCGCGCCGCAUUAGCUAGUUGGUAAGGUAACGGCUUACCAAGGCAACGAUGCGUAGCCGACCUGAGAGGGUGAUCGGCCACACGGGAACUGAGACACGGUCCAGACUCCUACGGGAGGCAGCAGUAGGGAAUCUGCCGCAAUGGGCGAAAGCCUGACGGAGCAACGCCGAGUGAGUGAUGAAGGUCUUCGGAUCGUAAAACUCUGUUAUUAGGGAAGAACAAAUGUGUAAGUAACUAUGCACGUCUUGACGGUACCUAAUCAGAAAGCCACGGCUAACUACGUG
Molecule: ribosomal RNA, 497 nt
Filed under: uncultured bacterium
Lineage: Bacteria
Description: partial 16S ribosomal RNA
Rfam family: Bacterial small subunit ribosomal RNA
Source: RNAcentral